Non-coding RNA from Chiloscyllium plagiosum (whitespotted bambooshark), 2628 nucleotides. NCBI's taxonomy places the organism in Eukaryota, Metazoa, Chordata, Chondrichthyes, Orectolobiformes, Hemiscylliidae. The record is from RefSeq and is a predicted model, not a curated record.
GUCACCUGACCUGAAACAUUAAUGCUGAUUUGUUCUCCACAGAUGUUGCCAGACAGGCUGAGCUUUUCCAACAAGUUUUAUUUUUAGAACUGUACUCACUGAAUUUUCUUCAUUUUCUCAAACGCUAACAAGGUUUCUUUGUGAUCUAUAUACUUUAAUCCCCAUGAUCCAGUUUACAUCUGUCUCUGAAAAAGAAAUACAUGAACCCGUUGUCUCACUAGAUACUGAUGUGCCUUGACAUUUGUCUUUACAGUUUUGAACUGUACUUUUGUGAUUCUCAUAAAACUACUCUCACAAGCUGUACCACUUAGAAUAAAACUGUUACUCGGUAUACUCAAAUAUAGUAACAGACGGCACUGAAAAUAAUGUGAUUGUCUAGAAUGAGGUCUAUAGUAGCACCUCUGCAAGAUGAAAGACUGUACUUAAAUACAGAUAUUAUUACUAUUUAGUUUUGAUGAAUCACUCAGCUCUCGCUAAUCUCUUAAACUCCAAACUUGAGACUAAAAAUGUAAUCAAAGUAGCCAAUAAAUAAAUGGUCAGACAAUUUGCUGAAUUCUAGAUCUCAAAAUCCAAAAUCCACCCCAUCGUCACUGUUAAGCUAUCAGAUUGGAAUGUCGUGGUGGUGGUACUCUUGAAAAAUGUUAAAUAAAUUAGAAUGUGUAUAAAUAGAAUACACAGCAGACUGAAUUAAUCUAUGGAAAAACCAACCGCUGGUAACACAACCAACAUAACUGACUUAACCCUGUGGUUCUGGUGAUUAUGUGGCUAAUACCUCAAGUGGUUCAUUUUUCCAUAACCUGUAUCCUUUGUGUCUGUGUUUGCAAUAGCCCUGAAGAUUUAAUGCAGCUAAAAUAAUUCAACUGUAUUUAUCGUUCAUUCAAAUAAUUAUUGCAAAUAUAGUUGUCCCAUUCUUUACUUAAGCAUUACCAUUUGAAUCAGACAUUAUACUUCAAGUAGGUCAGUGCCUGUAACAGUGCAGCAAUUUACCAGACCUUCCAUUCUUACGUACUUCAAGAGAUGGUGUGCUUAUCACUGUGAAUGCUAUACCCAAGAGAUAAAGGCAAGUGGCUAAGAAUAUUCAGAUUUCAUUAUUGAUGCACUAAUCUUUGAAUAUUUUCAAAGUCAAGGGUAUUUUAGAUGAAAAAAAAUGUAAAGACUUAAUUCAGAGUAAAGACAGGAAGGAUGCUGUGGUUCAGCUCACAACAUGGAAACUAACAAUCGCUGUGAUCAGUUUCCAUAAUUGCAUCAUACUUGCGUUAAUCCCUAUUUGACAUGAACUAGUGAUUUGGGGUGGCUAACAUUUAUGUCUAUAAGUUCUAAAUUGUUUCAUUUGGUGUGAGAAGUAACCAUGCCACAGAUUAUCAACUUUAACAUCGACUGUAAUACUAAGCAAUGUAAGUACAUCAGUGUAGCGAGGAUAAACUGGAAUCUGUUCAUUGAGAAAGAUGCAAAAUUGGAAACCUGAGAUAUCCAGUAACCAAUGGCUGUGAAAGGAUUGCUCUAUCAGAGAGUUGUCUUAUGUCUUUACUUUAUAUAUGUUGUAUUCUUAUAGUAACCACCUUGCACUAAAAAAAGUUUUAACACUACAGUGCUUUUCUGUACCAUAUAGCUUGCUUGCACUGUACAUCAAAUUUUAUUGUAUUUAUUAUAAAAUAUCUACUUUUAAAUAAUUACUUAAAGAAUAUCAAAAAUACAUUGACAAGCCUCUUUGGGUGUAAUGGAAAAUUCACCACAAACCAUUCUAUAAUUGGUAAACAGGAAAUGAGUUUACUGUAUGAUAGUAUAAAGUAGCCAGUUCAAAGCAUCAGGGUCUUUUGGAGACAUAACGCAAAGGACACUGCAGUGUGCAUAUAUUACUUAGUACUUAUUUCACUCUUUUGUGGAGAUUGUUAAAGGAAUACACAGGUAAAUAUGGUUAGGUGCUUCGAGAAUCCUCUCCUUGCAAGCUAAGCACUGCAGCCUUGAAUAAAGAUGAAGGCUAGCCUUCAAACUGACCAUAACGGCAAUCGACCCCUUUCAGGACCAUGGACAGCACUCAACCCGCCGCCGCUGUCCGAUCAGACAUUUUUCAUCUUCCAAUUCAUCCCAUCCAUAGGGAACUGCAGUGAAAAUAAUCAGAACAGUGAAUUUUGCAACUCGACAACCGGGAAACGUAUUCUUACGUCAAGGACCACGAACUCCGCCAUUUGAUUGGCGUCACUGUUAGCUAAACUCAUUUAGAAAUGGCAAAAGUCACUUAGGGAAUGCCUUGAUUUCUACGCUCUAGCACGCAUUACUUUCACUUGGGACACAAGCUCAAAGACAUUGCGAAAGUUGUAGCACUUUACUUCUAUAUAAAUGUCGCAAUUCUGCUGCUGCCCAUUUGGAAUCACAUCCUUCCAGAACUUGGAUUGAGAGGGAAAUCAGUCAAGAAUAUUCAAUAACUCUCGAAGUCAGCACUAAUCCCAGACCUAGCUUGACAGCUUGUCAGGAUGAAUAAACUAGUCUUGGCAACAUCCCUAUUUGUGCUCGGUUUUCUUCCCGCGAAAGAGUCGCAUCCGAUAAUGAACAGUCACCGAUUUGACUCCUACAGCAGUGCAGAGCCAGGGCUGGACCUGCAGCCAUGGGAUCACAGCCUUCGCCUUCCAA